UGUCCGAAGGCCGACCCUGCGGAGGGG
This 27-nucleotide small RNA is filed under the name Bombyx mori (domestic silkworm). RNAcentral describes it as "ovarian small RNA-35677". Lineage: Eukaryota; Metazoa; Arthropoda; Insecta; Lepidoptera; Bombycidae. The record is from RNAcentral.